RNAcentral lists this long non-coding RNA (283 nucleotides) under Elaeis guineensis (African oil palm). RNAcentral's name for it is "long non-coding RNA (EGUI_LNC056303)". The record is from RNAcentral. Lineage: Eukaryota; Viridiplantae; Streptophyta; Magnoliopsida; Arecales; Arecaceae.
UAUGGAUAUCUACUCAAGAUCAGUCUGGAAUAGUCCUCUUUGGUAUUGAUUUUUUUCUCUAAGAUAAAUCAGCCUGCAAAUCUGAACAAAGCCUGGAUCACGAUCAACUCUUUGAUCAUUUCCUUGAUCUUCUUCUUCUCUUCUUCUCUUUUUUUUCUUUCCUUGAUUAUGAAGCAAUUAAGAUCUAAAAACCAGCAAGCAAAGGAGCACCCAAACACUUUUUGGGCAUGGAGAUUGGGACGCCCAAACUCCUUGGGCGUUGGACUUCAAGGGGAGAAGAGAG